Molecule: long non-coding RNA, 294 nt
Filed under: Bos taurus (domestic cattle)
Lineage: Eukaryota; Metazoa; Chordata; Mammalia; Artiodactyla; Bovidae
Description: long non-coding RNA NONBTAT024344
Source: RNAcentral
GAAACACUGAUCCCUCAGUAAUUACCUCUUCUUCUGGAUUUGAGGACUCUUGAGGAGUUUUUUCACUGUGCUUUCUUCAUAAAGUCGAGCUAUCCUUGCUUGGCAGGUAGGAUUUUCACAAGACAGUGAUCCCUUUAAGACUGUUUCCUUUCCCUCAUAGAAAAUGGUCUAAUAACUUGAAUCGUUGCCAGUAGUCACUUCUGUUUUGAAUCAAAUGAUAUGUUUACUUAAAAUGGUGUCUUUAGACAUUAUUAUCAUAUUAGAGGAAGCAAUCAGGAGGAUUGUUUUCUUUAC